AGGAACUUAGGAUAUAUUUAAACCAAUAGCCUUCAAAGCCAUUAAAAGAGAUUGACCUCUUAGUUCCU
This 68-nucleotide transfer RNA is filed under the name Brookesia decaryi (spiny leaf chameleon). RNAcentral describes it as "partial tRNA-Trp". Lineage: Eukaryota; Metazoa; Chordata; Lepidosauria; Squamata; Chamaeleonidae. The record is from RNAcentral.